This 225-nucleotide long non-coding RNA is filed under the name Homo sapiens (human). RNAcentral describes it as "HSALNT0349190". Lineage: Eukaryota; Metazoa; Chordata; Mammalia; Primates; Hominidae. The record is from RNAcentral.
AAGGAUACCAUAGAAGUCUCAAGGGCAGGGGCCACAUGCAGGUUAUGAUUGAUGUAUUAUCUGGCCAUAAUUGAUUCAAGAAGAUGGAAAAUAACUUUGGUGAAAAGCUGAAAGAAACCCUAAUGCAAUUCCAAGUGCAAGGCAAAGAGCAAUAACAGACAAACAGAAGAAGACAACGUGAAAACAGAAGCAGGGAUCAGAGUGAUGCAGUCACAAAUUCCACAA